UGCCAUCUGGAAAUACAUGUAUUCGAUACACAAGAGCAUGCUCUACGUAGGAAGAAUUUCUAAAAUGAGAUUUUCCGUUAUUUCCCAAUAAUGACAAGGAGCACACAGUGGGUGUGACCUGUUGGCAGGGGAUGAUCACUCCUUCAUGGCACAUGAUCCCACCUCUGAUGUAUUAGAGAAUUAAAGGAUUGUACUUCAGCAGCCCCAGACGACACACCUCAAAAAUCCUGUGUGAGCAUUUUAUCUACCUGUACUUCUGAACCAGGUGUAUCUUAGAGAACUACUGGAUCAAGACCAGGCGUGAAAAUAUAUGGAUGAGCAGUAUUAGAUCAGUGAUUAGAUACAAAGAUUUAACCGAGAUCAGACAUAUAAAGAAAAGAGGAACACGACUGGAUCAGUGAUUAAAAAAAAUUAUUUCAGACCAUGCGUGGAAAAUAUGGACAUAUUAGAUCAGUGAUUAAAAACAAAAUUUUAUCCUAGACUAGGCGUGAAAAGAUAUGAAUGAGCACUAUUGGAUCAGAGAUUAGAUACAAAAUUUUAUCCUAGACCACAGGCGUGAAAAGAUAUGGAUGAGCAGUACUAGAUUGGUGAUACAAAAUGUCAUCCUAGAAAAGGCGUGAUGAAAUGCAGAUGUAUGACAUUACAUCCAAAUGCGUUUUCAAUCCGUAUCCUGUCUUCUGUCAACAGUUUGCUUGAUUUUUAUGUCGUUAAGACUUUAAAAUUUAUUUUUUUUUUAUAAUAUUGGUUGUUCCUUCGUUUAAUUAUUUGGCUUUAUUGUCAGCCUAUAUUUUGCGUAAAUUUGUUAUUCAUACUUUUUCAAACGUUUUUUUCUGUAUUCUUUCCUUUAUUUUAGUUCAAUUAAGUUGUAUAAUUUAAUACAUUUUUAAACUUUAUUUUAAACAUUUAAAACAUACAUAUACAUAAAAUUAAAAAUUAAACAUACAGGAGCUGGAAGUAUUGAAUAUUUCAAGAAUAGCUAGGGCUGUUCAGAAAAAUGUCGGACAAUAUCAAUGAUCAACACAUAAUAAUAUGUAAAAAAAAAUUUACUUUGUUGGUGUGUUUUGUUUCAUAAUUAAUCAAAGAAACUUAUUAUCCAUUAAUCUAAAAUUAACAUGUU
Long non-coding RNA from Saccostrea cuccullata (small rock oyster), 1117 nucleotides. RefSeq lists it as uncharacterized. The record is from RefSeq and is a predicted model, not a curated record. The transcript has 4 exons. Lineage: Eukaryota; Metazoa; Mollusca; Bivalvia; Ostreida; Ostreidae.